RNAcentral lists this ribosomal RNA (466 nucleotides) under uncultured bacterium. RNAcentral describes it as "partial 16S ribosomal RNA". It matches the Rfam family "Bacterial small subunit ribosomal RNA", at positions 28 to 507 of the family's 1533-position model. The record is from RNAcentral.
GAUGAACGCUGGCGGCGUGCUUAACACAUGCAAGUCGAACGGAAAGGCCCAAGCUUGCUUGGGUACUCGAGUGGCGAACGGGUGAGUAACACGUGGGUGAUCUGCCCUGCACUUCGGGAUAAGCCUGGGAAACUGGGUCUAAUACCGGAUAGGACCACAUUUUGGAUGGUGUGGUGGAAAGUUUUUCGGUGUGGGAUGAGCUCGCGGCCUAUCAGCUUGUUGGUGGGGUAAUGGCCUACCAAGGCGUCGACGGGUAGCCGGCCUGAGAGGGUGUACGGCCACAUUGGGACUGAGAUACGGCCCAGACUCCUACGGGAGGCAGCAGUGGGGAAUAUUGCACAAUGGGCGCAAGCCUGAUGCAGCGACGCCGCGUGGGGGAUGACGGCCUUCGGGUUGUAAACUCCCUUCGCUAGGGACGAAGCGUUAUGUGACGGUACCUGGAGAAGAAGCACCGGCUAACUACGUG